RNAcentral lists this ribosomal RNA (120 nucleotides) under Parus major (Great Tit). The record is from RNAcentral. Lineage: Eukaryota; Metazoa; Chordata; Aves; Passeriformes; Paridae.
GCCUACGGCCAUAGCACCCUGAGAACGCCCGAUCCCGUCUGAUCUCGGAAGCGUAAACAGCGUCGGGCCCGGUUAGUACUUGGAUGGGAGACCGCCUGGGAAUACUGGGUGCUGUAGGCU